This 373-nucleotide ribosomal RNA is filed under the name uncultured organism. RNAcentral's name for it is "partial 16S ribosomal RNA". It matches the Rfam family "Bacterial small subunit ribosomal RNA", at positions 527 to 896 of the family's 1533-position model. The record is from RNAcentral.
GGAGGGGGCGAGCGUUAUUCGGAAUUAUUGGGCGUAAAGGGCAGGUAGGCGGCUUUGUGUGUCCUCUGUGAAAGCCCCCGGCUUAACCGGGGAAUUGCAGGGGAAACUGCGAAGCUUGAGUCCGGGAGAGGGUAGUGGAAUUCCCAGUGUAGCGGUGAAAUGCGUAGAUAUUGGGAGGAACACCAGUGGCGAAGGCGACUACCUGGACCGGUACUGACGCUGAGCUGCGAAAGCCAGGGGAGCGAACGGGAUUAGAUACCCCGGUAGUCCUGGCUGUAAACGAUGAGCACUUGGUGUGGCGGGUAUCGACCCCCCUGCUGUGCCGAAGCUAACGCAUUAAGUGCUCCGCCUGGGGAGUACGGUCGCAAGGCUG